Molecule: long non-coding RNA, 476 nt
Organism: Bos taurus (domestic cattle)
Lineage: Eukaryota; Metazoa; Chordata; Mammalia; Artiodactyla; Bovidae
Source: Ensembl
AGGGUGAACAAAUGGCUCAGCAGCUGAAAGGGCCAUGCUGGGAGUCAGCCGCAGGACCUUGGUGGUGGACCCAAGAAGCUGGGCUCCAUGAUCCUGGCAAGCUGGGAUCAAAUGAAAACAUCUUGACUGAGCUGAGCCGCCUUCAAACUCAGAAUUCUGGAUCAGGGUGGGUUCUCCUGCAUUUCCUGGAAAUCCUGUUCCUUUCUGGAGUGUCUUCAUAAACAUGCAGUCAGCGAUGGCUGACAUUAAGGAGGACCAGCCACACACCAGGCACCUGACCGAAGCCUGGAUAUGUUCAAUAUAAGCGGGCUGUUCUCAUUUUUCCACCCACCUCUGAUUUGCUGGGACCCCAAAUGCAAGCUCACUCCUUCUAGGGCUUGAUGCAGCAACCCAGGCUGGAAUUCUCUCCAGUCUCCACAGCAGCCCUGAGAAAGGAGGCACUGCCAUCUCUGUCUUACAGAGGAGGAAACGGGGGC